CGUUGCCGCAGGCAACGACCCGAAGGGCGAAGCGCGCAGCGCUGAGUCAUCCUUCCCCCACCACCA
RNAcentral lists this small RNA (66 nucleotides) under Salmonella enterica subsp. enterica serovar Muenchen. RNAcentral describes it as "partial RtT sRNA". It matches the Rfam family "RtT RNA", at positions 66 to 130 of the family's 130-position model. From Rfam's summary of the family: This family represents a bacterial cis-regulatory element known as RtT RNA. Lineage: Bacteria; Pseudomonadati; Pseudomonadota; Gammaproteobacteria; Enterobacterales; Enterobacteriaceae. RNAcentral also lists the same sequence under 31 other names. The record is from RNAcentral.